Molecule: unclassified non-coding RNA, 230 nt
Filed under: Hevea brasiliensis (rubber tree)
Lineage: Eukaryota; Viridiplantae; Streptophyta; Magnoliopsida; Malpighiales; Euphorbiaceae
Source: RNAcentral
GGAUCCUCGCCAGCGUACCAAGCAUUAACCAACGGAUUUGAAGCAACUUCAGCCAAUUCAUGGCCGAUUACACUGAUCAUUCCAUCCAACGCAACGUCUCUAUUCGGCGGCGAGAGAGCGCUGGGGCCACCGCCGGUCAUGUACGCCGGGACGGCGAAGGGAUAGGCGCAUUGCUCGGGACAUUGCUUGCCGGAAUGGCCGACCCAAGCGUAGGGAAGCGUGUAGCCGAC